CGGAUGCAAGGCGCUCACAGUCAGCCUACUGAUUUUCUGUCCUCGCACCGCGUACGAGUCAUCUCCGACGGUUGGAGCUGCUCCAGCUUCCAUUCUUCUGGAAACAGGGUCUCAGGAAUGUCUCAUAAAGUGACAGCUUCCUGUGAGAGAAAGGGUGAAAUAAUUUCUUACAAAGGAGAAAUCUGCAAGACCAGG
This is a long non-coding RNA of Electrophorus electricus (electric eel), 195 nucleotides long. RefSeq lists it as uncharacterized. The record is from RefSeq and is a predicted model, not a curated record. NCBI's taxonomy places the organism in Eukaryota, Metazoa, Chordata, Actinopteri, Gymnotiformes, Gymnotidae.